Molecule: non-coding RNA, 73 nt
Organism: Phrynosoma platyrhinos (Desert horned lizard)
Lineage: Eukaryota; Metazoa; Chordata; Lepidosauria; Squamata; Phrynosomatidae
Source: the annotation of a GenBank genome assembly
GCCUAGGAUGGCGUAAUGGUUUGAGCACUGGACUAUGACUCUGAAGACCAGGGUUUGAAUCCCUUCUCAGCCA